Arabidopsis lyrata subsp. lyrata is the source of this 173-nucleotide long non-coding RNA. RefSeq lists it as uncharacterized. Lineage: Eukaryota; Viridiplantae; Streptophyta; Magnoliopsida; Brassicales; Brassicaceae. The record is from RefSeq and is a predicted model, not a curated record. The transcript is spliced from 2 exons.
CUUUCUUUUAUUUUGUUUCUCAUUCCCAACAAAAGCAAUUACUCUCUUCUUCUUCUCUCUUUUUUUACGAUCUCUACUUCUCUUCUCCUGUUUCCUUUUUGUUUUUCUGGAUCUCGCAUAUCAAGCCUCCGCCACCGCGUCUUGAAGCCGUCGUUCACCACCACCACCACCAU